AGAUCAGAAGGUGAUUGUGGCUUUGGGUGGAUACUAAUCAGCCACAGCACUGCCUGGUCAGA
This 62-nucleotide microRNA precursor is filed under the name Dasypus novemcinctus (nine-banded armadillo). Its description in RNAcentral is "microRNA dno-mir-383 precursor". Its record names the gene dno-mir-383. It matches the Rfam family "mir-383 microRNA precursor family", at positions 7 to 68 of the family's 73-position model. Lineage: Eukaryota; Metazoa; Chordata; Mammalia; Cingulata; Dasypodidae. The record is from miRBase by way of RNAcentral.